RNAcentral lists this long non-coding RNA (515 nucleotides) under Brassica napus (rape). Its description in RNAcentral is "long non-coding RNA (BNAP_LNC013933)". The record is from RNAcentral. Lineage: Eukaryota; Viridiplantae; Streptophyta; Magnoliopsida; Brassicales; Brassicaceae.
GAACGGUCGUAUCUGGUCCAAAUCGCAAAACGUUCGCAAACCUUUCAGAACUAAAAACAUAUGUAUAGUCUUCAAAAUAACAGCAAGACGUCGCCAAAGUUAGAAUCAAGACUAUACGAACAACUGUCCAAACGCGACCGUAAAAUUUCAACGAAUAUUUACAUCCUGCUCGUCGAUUGGCCCCGACGAACACAUCAGCCGUCUUAAACGAACGCACCCUGAUCAUUCUUCUCAAAAAAGAAAUGAUCCUCAAACAUCCGACACAAGGACAAAAGCGCGCUAUAUAAAAAAAUCGAAAUUUUGGUCAAGCACUUCCAGUUGGCUUAAAAAUUGUCUCUGGAGAGAUGCUCUAUUCAUACCAUACAAUUCGUAUAAGCCGAGAACCUAUCACGGACUUUAAAUCUGUACGAAUCAGGUUGAAAUCGCAAAAGGAAAAUCGAUAGCCGGCUAGUCACCGCAUAAACCUUAAAACCGAAAGUAAACCUAGGUCUUGCCCUAAACCCAACACACUGGUC